RNAcentral lists this long non-coding RNA (376 nucleotides) under Olea europaea (common olive). RNAcentral's name for it is "long non-coding RNA (OEUR_LNC001637)". Lineage: Eukaryota; Viridiplantae; Streptophyta; Magnoliopsida; Lamiales; Oleaceae. The record is from RNAcentral.
GACGUUCGGGUUUAUACUUCAGAGGCUCUUCCCAUAUUCUUGGAUUGCGACCGAGACAAGUACGACUCAAUAGUAUGUGACUACCUUUUGGAAUAAAGUAUCCAGCUAUAGUUGUAUCUUCCAUUGAUAGAUGUGGAACGUUAAAAGGUGCUAUUGGAUGAAGUCUGAAUGCCUCUCUGGCACAUGCCUUCACAUAGUUCAGUUUGUUUAAAUCUGANGGAACGUUAAAAGGUGCUAUUGGAUGAAGUCUGAAUGCCUCUCUGGCACAUGCCUUCACAUAGUUCAGUUUGUUUAAAUCUGAUUCUUGAACUAGUCUGUUCUUUCCAACUACUAAGUCCAAUUCUGCUGAAGCCUUUUUCAAAAUCUCAGGUUGGUU